UGGGGAAUAUUGCACAAUGGGCGCAAGCCUGAUGCAGCCAUGCCGCUUGUAUGAAGAAGGCCUUCGGGUUGUAAAGUACUUUCAGCGGGGAGGAAGGGAGUAAAGUUAAUACCUUUGCUCAUUGACGUUACCCGCAGAAGAAGCACCGGCUAACUCCGUGCCAGCAGCCGCGGUAAUACGGAGGGUGCAAGCGUUAAUCGGAAUUACUGGGCGUAAAGCGCACGCAGGCGGUUUGUUAAGUCAGAUGUGAAAUCCUCGGGCUCAACCUGGGAACUGCAUCUGAUACUGGCAAGCUUGAGUCUCGUAGAGGGGGGUAGAAUUCCAGGUGUAGCGGUGAAAUGCGUAGAGAUCUGGAGGAAUACCGGUGGCGAAGGCGGCCCCCUGGACGAAGACUGACGAUCAGGUGCGAAAGCGUGAGGAGCAAACAGG
This 429-nucleotide ribosomal RNA is filed under the name Chloroflexota bacterium. Its description in RNAcentral is "Chloroflexi bacterium partial 16S ribosomal RNA". It matches the Rfam family "Bacterial small subunit ribosomal RNA", at positions 355 to 776 of the family's 1533-position model. The record is from RNAcentral. Lineage: Bacteria; Bacillati; Chloroflexota.